RNAcentral lists this ribosomal RNA (247 nucleotides) under uncultured bacterium. RNAcentral describes it as "partial 16S ribosomal RNA". It matches the Rfam family "Bacterial small subunit ribosomal RNA", at positions 524 to 768 of the family's 1533-position model. The record is from RNAcentral.
UACGGAGGGUGCGAGCGUUGUCCGGAAUCAUUGGGCGUAAAGGGCGCGUAGGUGGCCCGGUCAGUUCGUGGUGAAAGCGCGGGGCUCAACCCUGCGUCGGCCAUGAAUACUGCCGCGGCUGGAGCACUGUAGAGGCAGGCGGAAUUCCGGGUGUAGCGGUGGAAUGCGUAGAGAUCCGGAAGAACACCGGUGGCGAAGGCGGCCUGCUGGGCAGUUGCUGGACACUGAGGCGCGACAGCGUGGGGAG